UGCAUCUUGCUUCUGCUGGCAGAUAUAAUCAGGGGUUAAAGGCUCCCUAGUUAUGCUGACUGUGUCAUGUGUGGGGCAUGAUUAGCUAGACUUCAAUAGAUUGAGAAGGGAUUUGAUAAAUCUUCACAUAUGUGAAGGAUAAUAUUCAAACAGACUGGAGGUCAGAUAAUGUUUGGGACCCAGGGCUCCACGCAGCACCCCAAAAGCUGGUUGAACCUCUCUGUAUUUAUGGAAAGCCUGUGAAGUUUCUUUUUUACACUUUUUCCUCAUCAAGGAAUCCUGCAAUUACCCUGGAAUCUCGACUCGGACCGAACAAUCCAUUUCUAGCCUGUGUGGGCAGCAGUAAUAGCUUGAAAUCAUGAAGGAUAAGGCAAAAAAAAAAAAAGUUGAAUAUUGUUUAUCUUUUACUGGCAUCAUUCGAGGUCAAAAGGGACUGCACCUUGUCUAACCUACAGCAGACUGCAGGAUGGUUGAGCUAUUCACACAUUGCCUAGCCACACUUCACAGACUUGAGCUGCUGACUUCUCAAGAAAACCGGCCGGGCAUGACUUUGGCUCACUGCUUGGCUAGGAACACCUGCUAGCAUUGACCCCUGCAAGCGUGAAGAAUGAUGCCUGUGAUUCCCCGAGGUGCAGGAAGCUGCCGAACUCUUCUUCCUGUAGUUUCUGGCUCAUUCACUUAGAAAAUGGUUUGAGAUGUCCAGUGAAUGAACUAUGACUUAAGACAACCUUGGGGGCAACCUAGUGAGGUCAACUCAGCUCAUCUUCUUGGUAGGAACUCUGCCAGGAAAGGCCAGAGGCAUAUAUUUAUAAUAAAUGGUGUUUAAUUAUGACCCUCCUUCCAGCCCUGGGAUCAUUCCAUCACAGCUCUGCCAGUGCCCUUCACUUUUGACCCAUAGACCCAUUGCUUUCCUAGUGCUCAGUUCCCAUUCCCCUCAGUCUUCUGCCACAUCAGCCUUGGUCUUCUCCGUCAUAUUGCUGCCCAUUCCCCUUUGUCUUGACUCAGAGUCACUCUACUAUUUUGGUCCUGGCUCUCUCCUGUCCAUCACAGUUGAUGUGUAUGGUGCACUUCCUUAGCCCCAGCUCUGCCAGGGGCUUCCUGUCAUACCACCAUGUCUUCCAUUUAAUACAUACUCUUCACAUAGGGAUCAGAGGCCUGAUAGCUGAAGCUGUUCAGGUGCCUGAUGGGAAUCACUUCACUUUGAACAGUAGGUGAGGGGGGUGUGUCGUUGAGUUACAGGCCCUUAAAAUAACUGCAUUUGCUGUCCCAGAACCAAUAAGGCUUU
This is a long non-coding RNA of Alligator sinensis (Chinese alligator), 1285 nucleotides long. RefSeq lists it as uncharacterized. The record is from RefSeq and is a predicted model, not a curated record. NCBI's taxonomy places the organism in Eukaryota, Metazoa, Chordata, Crocodylia, Alligatoridae. The transcript has 4 exons.